CCCCCACUUGACAGCCCAGUGGUUGCCAUGGACAAAGAGAUCCGCGAUACUGAAUGCGGCCAAGCAGUACAAGUUUUUACAUGGACAGUUAACACGAAGUUAUUGACGACAUGCAUGGCUGAAACACGGUGAUAUGAUUUUAAAAAUUCCUGUGUUAUGAUGCAAGUGAUAGUAUUCUGUUGAAUUUUCAGAUCUAGUCAUGUGCCAGCAAGGCCUGCUGUACUUCUGGUGUAUUCUAUGUUGUAUUUUCAAAUAAAGAUGUUGCAUUCUGAAGUUAACCUUA
Dermacentor albipictus is the source of this 283-nucleotide long non-coding RNA. RefSeq lists it as uncharacterized. NCBI's taxonomy places the organism in Eukaryota, Metazoa, Arthropoda, Arachnida, Ixodida, Ixodidae. The record is from RefSeq and is a predicted model, not a curated record.